RNAcentral lists this ribosomal RNA (331 nucleotides) under uncultured eukaryote. RNAcentral describes it as "partial 18S ribosomal RNA". It matches the Rfam family "Eukaryotic small subunit ribosomal RNA", at positions 1470 to 1796 of the family's 1831-position model. The record is from RNAcentral.
CCCUUAGAUGUUCUGGGCCGCACGCGCGCUACACUGUUCGACGCAGCGAGUCUUAACCUUGACCGAAAGGUUUGGGUAAUCUUCAGCAAAGUCGAACGUGAUGGGAAUCGAUCAUUGCAAUUAUUGAUCGUGAACGAGGAAUUCCUAGUAAGUGCAAGUCAUCAGCUUGCGCUGAUUACGUCCCUGCCCUUUGUACACACCGCCCGUCGCUACUACCGAUUGAAUGGUUUAGUGAGAUCUCUGGAUUGACGCUGGCUAGGGGGCGACCCUUGGCCAGACUGUUGAGAAACUGCUCAAACUUGAUCAUUUAGAGGAAGUAAAAGUCGUAACA